GCUGGAGAAGAUUGAGCAAGAGACGUGGAGGGAGACGGGAAUCUCCUUUGUCACCUCUGUCACACGGUUGAUGGAACGUCUGCUGGACUACAGGGACUGCAUGAAAGGAGACGAGACAGAGAACAAGAAGAUUGGCUGUACUGUCAACCUGUUGAACUUCUACAAGUCAGAGAUCAACAAGGAGGAGAUGUACAUCCGCUAUAUCCACAAGCUGUGUGACAUGCACCUUCAGGCUGACAACUACACAGAGGCUGCGUUCACCCUGCUGUUGUACUGGGAGCUACUGCA
Molecule: long non-coding RNA, 288 nt
Organism: Oncorhynchus tshawytscha (Chinook salmon)
Lineage: Eukaryota; Metazoa; Chordata; Actinopteri; Salmoniformes; Salmonidae
Exons: 4
Source: RefSeq, a predicted model, not a curated record